Molecule: transfer RNA, 90 nt
Filed under: Pseudomonadota bacterium
Lineage: Bacteria; Pseudomonadati; Pseudomonadota
Also listed under: 2 other names
Description: Proteobacteria bacterium tRNA-Ser
Rfam family: tRNA
About the family: Transfer RNA (tRNA) molecules are approximately 80 nucleotides in length. Their secondary structure includes four short double-helical elements and three loops (D, anti-codon, and T loops). Further hydrogen bonds mediate the characteristic L-shaped molecular structure. tRNAs have two regions of fundamental functional importance: the anti-codon, which is responsible for specific mRNA codon recognition, and the 3' end, to which the tRNAs corresponding amino acid is attached (by aminoacyl-tRNA synthetases). tRNAs cope with the degeneracy of the genetic code in two manners: having more than one tRNA (with a specific anti-codon) for a particular amino acid; and 'wobble' base-pairing, i.e. permitting non-standard base-pairing at the 3rd anti-codon position.
Source: RNAcentral
GGAGAGAUGGCUGAGCGGUUGAAAGCACCGGUCUUGAAAACCGGCAAUGGGGCAACCCAUUCCAGAGUUCGAAUCUCUGUCUCUCCGCCA